RNA transcript from Eriocheir sinensis (Chinese mitten crab), 7933 nucleotides. It is a transcript of the gene named UDP-sugar transporter UST74c-like, with no coding region annotated. The transcript has 10 exons. Lineage: Eukaryota; Metazoa; Arthropoda; Malacostraca; Decapoda; Varunidae. The record is from RefSeq and is a predicted model, not a curated record.
CUCUCUCAGUCCUCCUUCAGCCGUGAGUGAGGGUGUACGUCGCCGCUGGACCUCUCAUAUCUAUGGCUGGGACACACGCAUUAGGGCCACGUAACCCCGAAAAUGGACAGACCGUGUGAGUGAGGGAAGGAAACCAACAAAACCCUGAGAAAACCGGCGCCGCGGAGGCCAUAGCAGCGCCAGGGGGAAGGAUACGUGGUUACCUGGGCCACGGUGACACCUGCCCCCCCUCCCCCCCCUCACCUGUCCGGGGUCGCUAGUAAGGGUCACACUCCCCCCCCCCCCUCCUCCCUUUACCACGUGGCACCCUACAGCUGUUAGUGCCAGAGUGCCUCGUGCCAUGACCUGCCCCUCCCCCGCCGCCCGGCCUGUGCACCUGUCAUGACCACCAGGGGGUGUAAUCACUGAGGAGGAGGAGGAGGAGGAGGAGAAGGAGGAGGAAGAAUAAGAGAAAAAAGAAGGAGAAAGGAGAGAGGAGGAGAAGGAGGAAAUAGAUCAGAACAAGAAGAAACAAAGAAAAAGAAAGAGAAGGAGAAACACAGCUACCAACACCACCACAACUACUACUACCACUACUACUACCACUACCACUCCACUACUACCAGGCAAGAUGGAGCUGCUCAAGAGGCUGUGCUCGGCCCUGUUCUAUGGGGUCUGCUCCUUCCUCAUCAUGGUCAUUAACAAGAUGAUUCUCACCACCUACAAGUUUCCAUCUUUCCAGUUCGUUGCGUUGGGACAGAUGUCGGCCACAGUGCUGGUGUUGUUCACGGCCAAGAAGCUUCAUGUGGUGGACUACCCCAGCUUCUCCCUGGAAAUCAUCCCCAAGAUCUGGCCGCUGCCGCUCCUCUACGUGGGGAACCUCAUCUUUGGUCUGGGCGGCACCAAGAGACUCAGUUUGCCGAUGUUCACGGUGCUGCGUCGCUUCUCCAUCCUCUUCACCAUGAUCGGGGAGAAGCUGCUGCUGGGAGUGAACCCGCCGCUAACAGUCCAGCUGACGGUGUACAUGAUGAUCCUGGGCUCCAUCAUCGCUGCCGUGAACGACCUCUCCUUCGACAUCAUCGGCUACUUCUUUGUGCUGACCAACAAUGUGUUCACGGCGGGCACAGGCGUGUAUGUCAAGAAGAAGCUGGAGAGCAAGGAGCUGGGCAAGUACGGGCUGCUCUUCUACAACUCCCUCUUCAUGCUGCCCUUCGCCACAGUCUUCUGCUGGAUCAACGAUGACUUCCUCAAGACCUGGGAGUACGACGGCUGGUCUGACCCGGCGUUCGUGAGCCAGUUCCUCGUAUCCUGCUUCAUGGGUUUUGUGCUCAUGUACUCAGUGAUGCUGUGUACGCAGUUCAACUCAGCGCUCACCACCACCAUCAUCGGCUGCCUCAAAAACAUCUUCGUCACCUACCUGGGCAUGAUGAUAGGGGGGGACUACGUCUUCUCCUUCUACAACUUCGUGGGACUCAACAUCAGCAUUGUGGGCAGCAUCAUCUACUCCUGGGUAACCUUCCGACAGCGUGACAAGCCUCGCGCCGACCCCCUCAAGCCGCUGUCAUCCGCUGCCACCACCACGGUAUAGCACUAGUGGACUGGGUGGGGCCGCGCGGUGAGUCUAGUUCCCUCCCAUUCCCUCGCCCCAGCACCUGCAUGCCGCCAGACUUCACCCACCUUACAAGACUUACUAACGGGCUCAGGGAGGCAUCGAGUUCGCGCUGCUGGCCAUGUGUUCGUGGCUGACGGGGAAGAGACGUCGCGUGCAGCACUUGUGACACUUCCCCGUACACUGUUUAGCAUAAGGUCCUUGCAAGCCUUCCAGAAAUCCUCGGUCGCAAGUGCCUACGCAGCCAUAGAUCGACACUGUGCUGGAAACGGGUUCAGUCCAGGAGGGUGAAGUCAGAGUUCGGAAUCAUAACAGGAAGGAAAGCUGAAGAAACAAACGACGAGGGAGAGGAAGAAUAAAGAAGAGACAAGAAAGGGAAAGAAAUAUUGCAAAGAAAGUAAAGGAGGAAAAGAAAAACAGAAGAUGGAAAAACAAUAACAGUAAGAAAAGGGACAUUCCAGCAACAGGGAAAGAAAUAUAUCAAAGGAAGUAAGAGAGAAAAAGAAAAACAGAAAAUAGAAAAAUAAUAACAAUAUGAAAAGAGACAUUCUGGCAACAGGUUCAAUAUAUUGAGUGUCGAAAAAUAGAGAGCGCUGGAAAUGGGUUCUUCGGAGGUGAUACGUGAGGCAUUAUGGUUAUCUAAUUGGGCCCAUAGCUACCUACCUUACAUAUAAUAGAGACUGCUUGUGACAGGUUUUUAGUAUAUGUACCGCCGAAGCAAGUGCGAGUGACAGGUUCUAUGGAGUCUCCUUUCUAUCAAGGUGUGACUUAAGGCAUUAGGAUUACUUAACAGGGUCCAAAACUACAUUAGGGUAACUUUACGAACCUAUUGAUGAGACAGAUUUUACGGCAUGACUCGUUCUGACUUACUUGCGGCUGAGCGGUUCCGAGGCGCUCACAGAGGUAAUGGGCAUUGUUUUCACAUGCACAAGAGAGUGUGUGUACGUGGGGUGAUGUGCCGCACCCCACUGAAAGUUCACUCAUUGUACAGUCAAGAGGUGUGAGUGUGUAGAGUGACCAGUUUGGGGCUUCAUAAGGGCAUGGAAAAAGCCUCAUGAGCAGAGUUUUCAGUGUUUAUGAGAGGGUUUCAGAGCAGGGAUGUCUUGGGUUGCCUCACACACUACAUCAAGUUCUCCGCUCAUUGUACAGUCAAGAGGCAUGAGUGUAUAGAGUGACCUGUUUGGGGGCUUCGUAAGGGCAUGGAAAAAGCCUCAUUAGCAGAGUUUUCAGUGUUUGUGAGAGGGUUUCAGGUCAGGGACGUCUUGGGUUGCCUCACACACUACAUCAAGUUCUCCGCUCAUUGUACAGUCAAAAGGUGUGUGUGUGUUGAGUGAUCUGACGUUUGAGGGCUCUAGAGAUGUGUGGAAAGGCUCAUUGUUAGUGUGUUAGCCUGUGUGUAAGGGCAAGGCUGUCUUAAAUCAUCUCACACCCUACCUGACCUCAUUCACUCACUGUUGUUAAAUCGGAAGUGACCUGCUGUUGGGGGUUCUUGAGGUGUCUUAGGAAAGGUUCACUGCUACAUAGUUCAGUGUCUUCUCUAGUGUGUCUCAGGGCAGGGUUGUGUCUGGUCCCGUCCGUCACUCGUCAUGCGUCUUGGCAGUUUUGUUGUAUUUAUUUGUGUGUUUUGUUUGUUAUUUAUUGGUACAAUGGAGUUUGGUUGACGAGGUGAGGAUGUGAACCUGACCAGUAGCCACACUUCAGCCUGUCUGUCUUUAACUUUUUAGAAGGCCCGUGAUUAAAGAUUCUGCAGGAUGGUGCGAUGUAGUACUCCCAGACACUCCUUGAUCACCAGCUUCAUGUUAACUCAUUCCCAUUCAUACUGGUCAAGUCAGCACAGCCUUUCCCUGAGAGAAUGACCCUACGUUAUUGUGUGUGUGAAGGAGAGAGAAAGAGAGAGAGAGAGACAUUGUAGGGGACACUAUAGCUAUAUUCAAUCCUUGGGGACCUCAUACACAGGAUCCUCCCACAUAAAUACUGGUUGGGUCAGCACAGCCCUGCCCGGAGAGAAUGACCCUCUGUAUAUGUGCGUGAACGAGGGAGAGAGAGAGAGAGAGAGAGCCAAGAUUCUAAGGGACACUAUGACAAUAAUACCUUAAUCCUUGGGGUCUCAUACACAUGGUCCUCCCAUAUAAUUACUGGUCAAGUCAGCACAGCCCUGCCCUGAGAUAAUGACCCUACGUAUAUGUGUGUGAACAAGAGAGAAAGAGGGACAAGAUUUUAGGGGAACACUAUGACAAUAAUACCUUAAUCUUGGGCCCUCAAACACUGGUCCUCACAUAGAUACCAGUUGAGUCAGCACAGCCCUGCCCUUAGAGAAUGACCCAACAUAUAUGUGUGUGAACGAGAGUGAGAGAGGGACAAGAUUCUAGGGGACACUAUGGCUAUAUUCAAUCCUUAGGGACCUCAUUCACAGGGUCCUCACACAUAAAUACCGGUUGGGUCAGCACAGCCCUGCCCUGAGAGAAUGACCGUAUGUAUAUGUGUGUGAAUGAGAGAGAAAGAGGGACAAGAUUUUAGGGGAACACUAUGACAAUAAUCUUGGGCCCUCAAACACUGGUCAUCACACAUAGAUACCAGUUGAGUCUGCACAGCCCUGCCCUGAGAGAAUGACCGUAUGUAUAUGUGUGCGAAUGAAAGAGAAAGAGCGACAAGAUUCUAGGGGAACACUAUGACAAUAAUACCUUAAUCUUGGGAGCUCAAACACAGGGUCAUCAUAUAUAAAUACUGGUUUAGUCAACACAGCCCUGCCCUGAGAGAAUGACCCAAUGUAUAUGUGUGUGAACGAAAGAGUGAGUGUGUGCCAAGAUUCUAGGGGAACACUAUGACAAUCUUGGGCUGUCAAACACUGGUCCUCCCACAUAGAUAUCAGCUGAGUCUACACAGCCCUGCCCUGAGAGAAUGACCCUUCGUAUAUGUGUGUGAACGAGAGAGAGAGAGAGAGUGUGCCAAGAUUCUAGGAGAACACUAUGACAAUAAUACCUUAAUCUUGGGCCGUCAAACACUGGUCCUCCCACAUAGAUAUCAGUUGAGUCUACACAGCCCUGCCCCGAGAGAAUGACCCAACGUAUAUGUGUGUGAACGAGAGUGAGAGAGGGACAAGAUUCUAGGAGAACACUAUGACAAUAAUAUCUUAAUCUUGGGACCUCAAACACUGGUCCUCCCACAUAGAUACCAGUUGAGUCUGCACAGCCUUGCCCUAAGAUAAUGACCCUACGUAUAUGUGCUAGAACGAGGGGGAGAGCGCGCCAAGAUUCUAGGGGACACUAUGACAAUAAUACCUUAAUCUUGGGACCUCAAACACAAGGUCAUCACACAUAUAAACUGAUAAUAGAGUCUUUUGCCUCACUCUGCUACAUUGUCUAUAAGGAGUGUCCAUCAAAGCCAUAUAACCAGUGCCCCUGAAGCUCCUAAUCUGGCUCUGGUGAACAUGUGAGAGAGAGAGAGAGAGAGAGAGAGAGAGAGAAUAGUGGAAAGAGAGAUUAUAAACAGUUGUGAUAAUUUUAAUGGGCACCGAUGUUGACUUGCAUAGUAGGUGGGUUAGUCGGUCGCCGCCAAUUUUAGUUCAUAAGCCGCCAAGAGUAUUUUUAUAUUGCUCAAUUCAAUGUCUGGAAUGGAGCUUUUUAGUUGUAUGUGUGUGUGUAUGUAUGUGUCUCUGUGUGUGUGUAUGUGUUAAAGAGAGAAAGUGCGAGCGAGUGUUGAGGGCAGUUUUCGUGGUCUGCUCUGAGAUCAAAACUGUUUGUGUGUCCAUCUAACUAUCUAUCUAUUUAUUCUGGUAUGUGUUGCAGCAGCUUUCUCCUUUCCAUCUUCUCAGGACUUUACAGUUGUGCAUUUCUGUGGUGUGAAUGGCAAGGAUGUUUAUACUUACUAAUAGGUUAAUUUUGGGGUCUAUUUAUGAGGGAGUGUGAGUGUGAAGUCUGGUGUCGUAUCGUGUGUGUUAUCUCAUUCACAGCACAGCACAGGGUGGAUUUUUUUUAUACUGUUGAUGGUUUUGUGUCUUCUUGAUCAAUCGUUGAUGGUUAACAAGCCACAUUUUUUAUCAGUACAAGCUUGUUGAGUUGAGCAGGACAUAUUCAACCUCAAAAAACAAGCUGAUUCCCACAUUUGAAUACCUUAACAAUUUCCCUUAUGUAAUUCUGUUGCCAAAUAAGCUGUAAUUUUCAUCAGUACAAGCUUGAAAGUUGAACAGGAUAUAACCCAACCACAAAAAACAAGCUUCUUAUACUUAUUCCCACAUUUGAAUACCUUAACAACUUCCCUUAUAUAAUUUACUUCCCAAUCUUUUAUAUUUCACAUGAUAAGGAAAGUAUUGUCUACCUACACCCACUCACACAAGCACCGUCUGUCUUGUCCUGUGAUGAGAGAGUGAUCAUGGCCUCCAGUGGCAUUGGAGUUGAAAUUUACACUUGUUUGUCAUCACCUGUGUUGUACUGUAUUAUCCUGGGUGCAGAGUUGUGAUAUAUAUGCAAUGAGGAGUGUAUGGGUGUGGACUUCAUUCUAGGUGGUCAGGGAGAGAGAGAGGACUAGGGGGAACAUGGCAAAAGCUGAUAGUAACCUUAUUUGUCAUCCCCUAUGUUGUUGUUGUACUGUUUUAUCCUGGGUGCAGAGUUGUGUUAUAUAUGCACCUAGGAGAGUAGGGUGUGUGCUUCAUUCUAAGUGGUCAGGGAGAGAGGGAGAGAGAACAUGGCAAGAGGUGAUUGUAACUCUGCCCAUUGUGAUAGUGUAGUGGGUGAUCUGACGUCCCCAGUGUACUACUUUGUCAGGGAUCAUAUUGUGGGCAGUCUUGCUUUACCAGUGCAGCUCCUUUCCUCAAGUAUACAAUUCCCAUUCAUAAGUUCCAUGUGCAUUGAUGAGAUCCAUUCUGAAACUCCAUUUACUUCAAGGAGCAUCAAGACAACACACUAACUAGGUUCUGUUUCUAGGCAACUUAUAUUAGAUGUGGUUUUUCAGUUCCAUUCAACUAUAUAGUUCUGUAAAUGAGAGGUGAAGGAAGCCAUGCCAUAGACUACGUUCAUAACUUUAUUUAUCUCAAUGUACAUUUGUUUUUUUGUGCCAAUUAUAUCUCGUGCAAGCCUCUUAGACUGUGAGGGUGGAUGUAAGGCCGGGCAUCAAGUGGUCUGCAGGAAGGUUGUGACAGUGUCUUGUAUGGUAAUUACUAGUGGUUGGUGAGGCUGAGUGUGAAUAGUUUUGUUGAUGUAGUAGUAGUAGUAGUAGUGGUAAUAGCAUGUAUGGGUGUCAGCAAUGCAUGGGUUCCUGUAGUCUUGGUUACUCUGAAGCAUGUACUGGUUUUGUUUAUGUCUUGAUAGCAGGGGUUGAAAGGGGACAGUCAGGGUACACAGCAUUUGUAGAAUAGAAGAUUUUAGCAGAAUGAAACCCAAGAAUGCACUGGGCUUGUUUGUAUGUAUUGAUAGCAGUCUUGAGGCAUGGGUAAGGGGACAGUCAGGGUGCACAGAAGAGCCUUAGAAUAGACUAUAUAAGGAAUGAAAGCCAAACAUGUACUGGAUCUGUAUAUUUCUUGAUAGUGGUCUUGAUAACAUGGGUAGAUAUGUGACGUUCCUAGCACACAGCAGAGUAAAUAGCAUAGGGGAGUUUAGCCACCCCACCACAGGCCUUAUGUUGUUGCCGAAAGACCCAUAGAAACUUCAAACUGAUGAUAUGAUAGUGUUUCUGCAUGCUCUGGGUAUUCUCAGGAUCUUGAAAUACCCAGAGCACGGAGAACAGUAUUGUAUCAGCAACAGUUUGAGUUUCAUGUGGUUCUUUUGGUAGCAAUGUGGAGUCUGUGAUGGUGGUCAAACUCACCUAUUCUAUGGUUCUGAUACAUAUAGCAUGGUUAUUGUUCUCUCUCUCUCUCUCUCUCUCUCUCUCUCUCUCUCUCUCUCUCCUCAACCGAAAACCGAAGGGCCCCACAGGAUGUCACCCCACAGUAUGUUUAUAACCCCCACAGUUGGCAACCCCCCCAGUCCAUUACUAAGUUCAUCUCUAUCUUCAUCUUCUGCUUCUGCUUCUUGUUCGUUAUCUUCUCCGAGCCUUCUUUGUUUUCUUCUUCAUCUUCUUCAUCUAAUUGCUGUUCCUCUUCUUGUUCUUCUCCUCCUCCUCCCUCUUUCUUAACUUUCUUCUCAUUCUUGUUCUUGCUCUCUCUUAUCCUCAUCAAGUCUCUCCACUCCUACUCUUCACUCACACUCUCUCACUCUCUCUAAAACGUAGCACCAUCAUACGCUAACCCAUAGAAUGAAUGCUACCACACAUCAUCCUAACCCAACCUGACCUGACCUGACCUGAUGAAGCAGACACCAACUUGAACUGAGAUUUUAUAAAGUAUACUUGUACAAAUAAAAACCUAAAAUGCAA